Molecule: ribosomal RNA, 502 nt
Filed under: uncultured bacterium
Lineage: Bacteria
Description: bacterial SSU rRNA
Rfam family: Bacterial small subunit ribosomal RNA
Source: RNAcentral
GACGAACGCUGGCGGCGUGCUUAACACAUGCAAGUCGAACGGAGAUUAUUAAUGAAGCUUGCGAUUUAAUAAUCUUAGUGGCGGACGGGUGAGUAACGCGUGGGCAACCUACCCAUAAGCGGGGGAUAACAGUUGGAAACGACUGCUAAUACCGCAUAAGCUAUUGAGGUCGCAUGACCUAAAUAGUAAAGGUGGCGAAAGCUAUCACUUAUGGAUGGGCCCGGUCUGAUUAGCUAGUUGGUGGGAUAGCAGCCUACCAAGGCAACGAUCAGUAGCCGGCCUGAGAGGGUGGACGGCCACACUGGGACUGAGACACGGCCCAGACUCCUACGGAGGCAGCAGUGGGGAAUAUUGCGCAAUGGGGGAAACCCUGACGCAGCGAGCCGCGUGAGCGAAGAAGGCCUUAGGGCGUAAAGCUCUGUUGUAAGGGACGAAUGUUUAUCUGGCGAACGUCAGAUAAAGUGACGGUACCUUACCAGCAAGCCCCGGACUAACUACGUGA